Molecule: RNA transcript, 2743 nt
Organism: Jatropha curcas
Lineage: Eukaryota; Viridiplantae; Streptophyta; Magnoliopsida; Malpighiales; Euphorbiaceae
Gene: PSAT1
Gene name: phospholipid sterol acyl transferase 1
Source: RefSeq, a predicted model, not a curated record
AAAUCGCGGCCUGUAACCAAUGAAGCAUCCACGAGAGCACCAAAAUUUCAACUCCCAAACGGAUAGUCAGAGUCAUCGAGCACAUCUCUCCCUCUCGAAACUAAAAAUGAGAAAAAGAUGAGGGUAAGAGGAGGCCUCCGGCAUCUGGCCGUCGUUGUGGCGGUUCUGAUCAUUAUUGGUGGUGGUGGUGGUCUUCCUAGAAGCUCUGGUGAUGGAAGAGAGUUAGACUACUCGAAGCUGUCGGGGAUAAUAAUUCCUGGCUUCGCGUCGACUCAGUUAAGAGCCUGGUCUGUUCUCGACUGCCCUUACUCUCCUCUUGACUUUAACCCUCUCGACCUCGUCUGGCUCGACACCACCAAACUUCUUUCUGCUGUAAAUUGUUGGCUUAAGUGUAUGAUGCUCGAUCCUUACAAUCAAACUGAUCAUCCUGAAUGCAAGUCACGGCCUGAUAGUGGUCUUUCAGCGAUUACAGAGCUAGAUCCUGGUUAUAUAACAGGUCCUCUUUCUUCUGUAUGGAAAGAAUGGAUUAAGUGGUGCGUCGAGUUUGGUAUUGAGGCUAAUGCAAUUAUUGCUGUUCCUUAUGAUUGGAGAUUAGCGCCAUCAAUGCUUGAGGAACGGGACCUUUACUUUCACAGGCUCAAGUUGACAUUUGAAACUGCUCUUAAACUUCGUGGUGCACCCUCAAUUGUAUUUGGCCAUUCUUUGGGUAACCAUGUCUUCCGCUACUUUCUAGAAUGGUUAAAGCUAGAAAUUGCCCCAAAGCAUUACAAUAAAUGGCUGGAUGAACACAUUCACAUCUAUUUUGCUGAGCUCCUCUUCUUGGUGCAACUGAGACAGUCAAAGCAACACUCUUUGGAAACACCUUUGGUCUUCCUGUUUCUGAGGUACCAGGGCACAGCUCGAUUGAUGUUCAAUUCUUUUGCUUCUUCAUUAUGGAUGAUACCAUCUUCAAAGUACUGUACAGCUCAAAAUCCAUACUGGAAACAUUUCUCUGGGGCAUCCAGGAAAAGUCGUCAGAUCUAUCAGUGUGAAGAAGAUGAAUUUCGUUUUAAUUACUCUGGAUGGCCAACAAAUAUAGUCAACAUUGAAAUUCCUUCUAUCCAUGCAUUUGAUGCCUAUCCAUCAGCUACAGAAGUAACUCAGACCAACUUGUCUAACCUGGAAUGUGGACUCCCUACUCAGUUAUCUUUUUCAGCUCGUGAAGUAUCAGAUGGAACCUUUUUCAAAGCAAUAGAGGACUAUGAUUCUGAUAGCAAGAGACUCUUGUACCAAUUACAGAAGUCAUAUCAUGGUGAUCCUGUUCUGAAUCCACUUACACCUUGGGACAGACCACCUAUUAAAAAUGUUUUCUGCAUCUAUGGAAUAGAUAUGAAGACUGAGGUUGGUUACUAUUUUGCACCAAGUGGCAAGCCUUACCCAGAUAAUUGGAUCAUAACAGAUGUCAUUUACGAGCUUGAAGGAUCUCUUAUCACAAGGUCAGGAAAUCUGGUUGAGGGGAAUCCUGGACCUGCAAGUGGGGAUGAAACAGUACCAUAUAAUUCUCUCUCUUUUUGCAAGAACUGGCUGGGACCCAGAGUUAACAUAACAAGAGCUCCUCAGUCAGAGCAUGAUGGAUCUGAUGUGCAAGUGGAAUUGAAUGUAGAGCAUCAGCAUGAAGCAGAUAUAGUUCCCAACAUGACAAGGUCUCCAAGGGUAAAAUACGUUACAUAUUAUGAAGAUUCUGAAAGUAUUCCAGGAAAGAGAACGGCAGUUUGGGAGAUUGAUAAAGCAAAUCACAGGAACAUUGUUAGGUCCCCUGUUCUAAUGCGAGAGUUGUGGCUUCAGAUAUGGCAUGAUAUUCACCCCAAUGCAAAAUCAAAAUUUGUUACAAAAGCUAAGCGUGGACCUUUGAGGGAUGAUGACUGCUAUUGGGACUAUGGAAAGGCUAGGUGUGCAUGGCCUGACUACUGUGAAUAUAGAUACCUUUUUGGGGAUGUUCACCUAGGACAGAGUUGUAGGUUGAAGAAUUCUACAGCUGACACGCUUUUGCAUUACCUGUAAAAUUAGAAGGUGCCAUCUGUCUUUUCCUCCAGCAAAACGAUUAUGCAUUGGAAAUUUUAUGUGAUGUUUCCAGCAUACGGUGUAUUCUAUCCUUUGCAAGUUCUUGCCAAUUGUGGCUCCAAUCGGUUUUGUACACUCUCCUGAAAGUUGGAAGUAAAAAGCUGUUUGGUCAUUUCAUAAUGCAUCAUGUGCAAACGAGAUGAUCUUGCACCUGGGAACGGUCAGGGGGGAUUCUAACUCAGAAUCAUGCACCUGUAAGGCAACUUGCAGCAUGUCUGCAUUUAUCAGUUAAAUGCUUGCAUCUGUACAACCUUUCCUAACUUGGGCAUAGCUAACCUUUCCUGGUAGCUUCAUGUAUGUGCACGAACAUAGAUCAGUUGAUGAGAUGCUUUAAUUAAGGACGGUAUUUUUCAAGCAGAAUUUUCUUGUUCAGAGAACAGAUUCUUAAUGUUCAGCAAUUGUGGGACCCUAGAAGUGGAUGCAUGGCAUGGUUUGCAAUGUAACUGGAAGAUUUUCUCAGUAGUUUGUAAAAACAAUGUUUGUUCAAUUGCCUUAAAUCCUUGGAAAGGCUAGGACAAAAAGAAAAGAGAAGGAUUGUUCUGUAAUUGUCAAACAAAUAAAGGAGUUAUGAGGUAAAAUUGGAAUUUUGAACCUUUGUAUUGAAAUCAUUAAGUAUUUUUUUGUAUAGAAUCAUUCUUUUAAA